Molecule: ribosomal RNA, 793 nt
Filed under: Aquificota bacterium
Lineage: Bacteria; Pseudomonadati; Aquificota
Description: Aquificae bacterium partial 23S ribosomal RNA
Rfam family: Bacterial large subunit ribosomal RNA (bases 1-142)
Source: RNAcentral
UCGGAAAUCCGCCGUAGAGUACAAGGGCAGAAGGGUGCCUGACUGUGAGGCAGACAUGCCGAGCAGAGGCGAAAGCCGGGCCUAGUGACCCACCGGUUCCAUGGGGAAGGGCCGGUGAUCAGCGGAUAAAAGCUACUCCGGGGAUAACCUGUGUUGUCCCGCUCCCGGGCAACCGGGAGGCAAUAACGCGGCUUAUAACGGGGGAGCCCUCCUGCCCAAAAAGGGCGUGGGGUAAUCCCGUGGGAAGUCGGGAGAGGCACCAUGGUAACCAAACGCCAAAAAGAGUUGAUAAUAGGCACCCUUUUGGGUGAUGGAUACCUACAGUCAACGGGAAAGAGAAACGCACGGCUAAAGCUGGAGCAUUCGGAAAAGCAAAAAGAUUACAUCUUCUGGAAGUAUGAGGAGCUGAAAAACCUCAUGCAAGACAAGCCUAAGAAGAUAGAAAGGUAUAACCCUCUGUGGAAAAAGACCUACACCUACUACAGGUGCCAGAGCUAUUCCACACCUUUCUUGGGCAAGCUAAAGAGGCUCUUUUAUGACAACAAAGGUCGUAAAAGGGUGCCAGAGAAGAUAGGUAUGCUCCUGAAGGCUCCACUUUCCCUGGCGGUAUGGUAUAUGGAUGAUGGGCAUUACUAUCCAAAGGAUAGGGUAGCUUAUGUAUACCUACCAAAAUACUCCGACGAGGAGCUUAAAAGGCUUACGGAGGCUUUGGAAAACAACUUUGGCUUAAAACCAAAGGUUAUAUGGAAAAAAGGCUACCCUGUCCUAUACUUUCCAAGAGAAGAAACAGAAA